GGUCACUGCACCUAACGCUACAGUGUUCAUAAAAAAAAUAACCAAGCUAGCUAAUAGCUUAUUGCUGAGUAACGAGGUUUGAUAAUUGGGAGAUAACAUCGACUAAAAAAACGAAUUUAAAGAAAAAAAAAAUCGCCGCUGGAGGGUGAAGGGUGGCAGUACUGAGUCGACUAGCUGCUUUUUAAAACCCCACAAGGAAGAACCACUCUGCGCAUGCGCUCACGUGAAAAAUGACUGCGGUGUAGUUCCUUCUUUUAUUUUCCAGCAUGGCUUUGGUUCCUUAUGUGGAAAAUCCCUUGCCAGCGCUUUCCAAAUUGAACAAUUCAUCCGCGCAUUUUCGGUUCGCAAACCACGACCUGAGUCUUGCCCAAGACUGGAAAAACCUCGGGGUGGCAGCAGUUGUGUGGGAUGCGGCGGUUGUCAUGUGUAUGUACCUGGAGCUGGGGAAGGUGGAGUUAAAGGGGAAGGAGGUGAUUGAGCUGGGAGCCGGGACUGGACUGGUGGGCAUUGUAGCAGCCUUGAUGGGUGCCAAAGUGACCAUCACUGACAGAGAACCUGCUCUGGAUUUUCUGUCAGCAAACGUGAAGGCCAACCUGCCCCCAGAAUCCCAGGAGUCAGUGUUCGUGUCAGAGCUGUCGUGGGGCGAGGGCCUUGAGCGCUACCCAGCUGGGGGGUUCGAUCUCGUCCUGGGAGCAGACAUCAUUUACCUGGAGGACACCUUUGUGCCGCUGCUGCACACUCUGGAGCACUUGUGCUCGGACACUGCGGUGGUUUUCCUCGCCUGCAAGAUCCGAUACAAGCGCGACACGAACUUCCUGAGCAUGCUGAAGCAGCAGUUCGCAGUGGAAGAAGUCUACUUUGACAGGCAAAGGGACAUCCAUGUGUAUAAAGCCUGGAAACUGACAACAAGGAGGGAUCUGUGAACACACACACAGACGCAACCGUUGUCUACCUUCAUUUUGUAUUUUAUUCUCCACCUUGUACAACAACUUGGUUGCUUGGGACGAGGAUCUGCUGCCCAUCACUGGUCUGGGCGUACUGCAGGAUCGUUGCACCAGACUGGGCUCCAGCAGCGUUGGCCAUGGUCAGAGUCUGCAGGCCCUGCACUCCAUCUGUGCCGUUAUUGGCCAGCUGAAUGGCUCCUCCCUGAGUAAUGGCAACUGCAGAGGGAUUGUAUGGGAGUGGGCAUGGUGACUGUGGUGAUGGCAGGAGCUGAGUCGUCCUCCGACUUCUCUUCCUCAAUUCGAGGCACCGCUGGAACGUCUGACGAUAAGUCGUUUAAAAUCUUUCUGCAGAGGGGGAAAACGAUCACAGAGAAACAUUUUUUUAAACUUUUACACUUACACAACAACAAUCAUUUACAGGUUAUUAUAGUCGUACAAAUAUUUUUUUUUAAAAUGUCGAUAUACAUUUGUGAUUAGAUGCUGCACCAACCUAUAAGAAGGUCGCCUGGACAGAAUCUCUCUCCUCUUCUGAGAAUCUGUCACGCUAUCUACGGAUUCCUGAGAAUCCUCACUCUCGGCAACAGUGGAAAUCUGAAACGAGUCAAACUUUAUUGCCAAAAAUGAAACUCGUUAAUAAGACAAAUCUGGACUUGUGGGGACUGGAUGACUGAGGGCUGUGCAGCUUGGAUCACACCAUGCACCUGGACUGUCUGACCGUUGGGUAACUGAACUAGAGUGACUGUGGGACUACUGGACGUCACCUGUCCUGCUGCUAUGGACGCCUGCAAACCAUAACAACCAGUCAUCAAAUGUCACACACAAAAAGUAACAGACAGCAGAGAUUUAAACCGACGCUGGAGAUAUUUACCUGGGUCAAGGUGAUCUGCUGGGUCUCGGGCUCAGAGACAACAGUAUCACCACCUUGCUGUGAGUCUGCAGCAGCCUCCAUGGUCAUUUAAAAUCUGAAAAUGUGAGAAACUUCUUAUAUGGAUUUGAUUCAUCAUGCUUACAGCCCAUAAAGCGAGUGAGAAACACAGCAGUCACUCUUCAGGCAGUGUCUUGUUGAUAUUCCUAAGGAGGGUGUGGCUUAGCUAAACAUGCUAGCACGCAUUUCAUUGAUUAAACAAAGUUUUCUUGCUGUAACAUCAGUGCAAGCCAGCUAAAAUAACACCUCGUUGUGACGAGGAUAUUGUGUUAAACACGUUACGACCUGACGUAGGCGUGCUGUUGUUUUUGUUUUUGUUUUUUAAAUAAAGAAGUGCUGCUGCAAUAA
This is an RNA transcript of Labrus bergylta (ballan wrasse), 2217 nucleotides long. It is a transcript of the gene named methyltransferase 21A, HSPA lysine, with no coding region annotated. The record is from RefSeq and is a predicted model, not a curated record. Lineage: Eukaryota; Metazoa; Chordata; Actinopteri; Labriformes; Labridae.